RNAcentral lists this ribosomal RNA (377 nucleotides) under uncultured bacterium. RNAcentral's name for it is "bacterial SSU rRNA". It matches the Rfam family "Bacterial small subunit ribosomal RNA", at positions 523 to 898 of the family's 1533-position model. The record is from RNAcentral.
AGACGUAGGGGGCGAGCGUUGUCCGGAAUUACUGGGCGUAAAGAGCACGUAGGCGGAUAUUUAAGUCAGUUGUGAAAGACCGCGGCUCAACCGCGGGGUUGCAAUUGAAACUGGGUAUCUUGAGGGCAGGAGAGGUCAGUGGAAUUCCUGGUGUAGCGGUGAAAUGCGUAGAAAUCAGGAGGAACACCAGUGGCGAAGGCGGCUGACUGGACUGGCCCUGACGCUGAGGUGCGAAAGCGUGGGUAGCAAACAGGAUUAGAUACCCUGGUAGUCCACGCCGUAAACGAUGGAUACUAGGUGUGGGAGGUAUCGACCCCUUCCGUGCCGCAGCUAACGCAAUAAGUAUCCCGCCUGGGGAGUACGGUCGCAAGGCUGAA